Molecule: unclassified non-coding RNA, 348 nt
Filed under: soil metagenome
Description: partial contains 5.8S ribosomal RNA, internal transcribed spacer 2, and large subunit ribosomal RNA
Rfam family: 5.8S ribosomal RNA (bases 1-120)
Source: RNAcentral
GAUGAAGAACGCAGCGAAACGCGAAAGGUAAUGCGAAUUGCAGAAUUCAGUGAAUCAUCGAAUCUUUGAACGCACAUUGCGCCCGCCAGUAUUCUGGCGGGCAUGCCUGUCUGAGCGUCAUUUCAACCCUCAUGCCCCUAGGGCGUGGUGUUGGGGAUCGGCCAAAGCCCGCGAGGGACGGCCGGCCCCUAAAUCUAGUGGCGGACCCGUCGUGGCCUCCUCUGCGAAGUAGUGAUAUUCCGCAUCGGAGAGCGACGAGCCCCUGCCGUUAAACCCCCAACUUUCCAAGGUUGACCUCAGAUCAGGUAGGAAUACCCGCUGAACUUAAGCAUAUCAAUAAGCGGAGGA